This 1166-nucleotide ribosomal RNA is filed under the name Leucobacter aridicollis. RNAcentral describes it as "bacterial SSU rRNA". It matches the Rfam family "Bacterial small subunit ribosomal RNA", at positions 45 to 1230 of the family's 1533-position model. Lineage: Bacteria; Bacillati; Actinomycetota; Actinomycetes; Micrococcales; Microbacteriaceae. The record is from RNAcentral.
UGCUUACACAUGCAAGUCGAACGAUGAAGCCCAGCUUGCUGGGUGGAAGAGUGGCGAACGGGUGAGUAACACGUGAGUAACCUGCCCUGAACUCUGGGAUAAGCACUGGAAACGGUGUCUAAUACUGGAUACGACCUAUCACCGCAUGGUGUGUGGGUGGAAAGAUUUAUCGGUUUUGGAUGGACUCGCGGCCUAUCAGCUAGAUGGUGAGGUAAUGGCUCACCAUGGCGACACGGGUAGCCGGCCUGAGAGGGUGACCGGCCACACUGGGACUGAGACACGGCCCAGACUCCUACGGGAGGCAGCAGUGGGGAAUAUUGCACAAUGGGCGCAAGCCUGAUGCAGCAACGCCGCGUGAGGGAUGACGGCCUUCGGGUUGUAAACCUCUUUUAGUAGGGAAGAAGCGAAAGUGACGGUACCUGCAGAAAAAGCACCGGCUAACUACGUGCCAGCAGCCGCGGUAAUACGUAGGGUGCAAGCGUUGUCCGGAAUUAUUGGGCGUAAAGAGCUCGUAGGCGGCUUGUCGCGUCUGCUGUGAAAUCCCGGGGCUCAACCCCGGGCCUGCAGUGGGUACGGGCAAGCUAGAGUGCGGUAGGGGAGAUUGGAAUUCCUGGUGUAGCGGUGGAAUGCGCAGAUAUCAGGAGGAACACCGAUGGCGAAGGCAGAUCUCUGGGCCGCUACUGACGCUGAGGAGCGAAAGCAUGGGGAGCGAACAGGAUUAGAUACCCUGGUAGUCCAUGCCGUAAACGUUGGGAACUAGAUGUAGGGCCUGUUCCACGGGUUCUGUGUCGUAGCUAACGCAUUAAGUUCCCCGCCUGGGGAGUACGGCCGCAAGGCUAAAACUCAAAGGAAUUGACGGGGGCCCGCACAAGCGGCGGAGCAUGCGGAUUAAUUCGAUGCAACGCGAAGAACCUUACCAAGGCUUGACAUAGCCGAGAACGCUGUAGAGAUACAGAACUCUUUGGACACUCGGUUACAGGUGGUGCAUGGUUGUCGUCAGCUCGUGUCGUGAGAUGUUCGGUUAAGUCCGGCAACGAGCGCAACCCUCGUCCUAUGUUGCCAUAUGGUGGGAACUCAUGGGAUACUGCCGUGGUCAACACGGAGGAAGGUGGGGAUGACGUCAAAUCAUCAUGCCCCUUAUGUCUUGGGCUUCACGCAUGCUACAA